This is a long non-coding RNA of Neofelis nebulosa (Clouded leopard), 805 nucleotides long. RefSeq lists it as uncharacterized. NCBI's taxonomy places the organism in Eukaryota, Metazoa, Chordata, Mammalia, Carnivora, Felidae. The transcript has 3 exons. The record is from RefSeq and is a predicted model, not a curated record.
UGGGACGCCAUUGUGGGUGGGGGAGGGGUUUUAUACAUUUUCCGAUAGGUUGUAAACAAAUAGUCAAUCAGACACACAGCUUUUAUUUGGUACUUCUGAAAAUGAAUCAUCUCUCUUCUCACACUACGGCCACAGGAAUGAAGUGUUUCUCUUCUGGACGAAAGUGAGUUCUUGAAACAGAAGAACCAAGAGAGCCGCUGGAAGAACCAGCCUUGUCAGGACUUGAAUUACAGAGAGAAGAAAGCAGACCUCUUUCUCCCAUCUUCCAUUUGUAGAUAUGGCAUGUGACUAUGUUCUGGCUAAGGGGAUGUCUGCAGCUUGAAGUGGAGGGACAUGUCAUAACCCUCCCCCUUCGUCCCCCCUGCUAUCUGAAAAGCGGAUGUGGAAAGGAGCCAUGGAAAACCAGAAGGGUGAGAACAACACCAUAGACCUAGUGUAGCUGCAUGAUGAAAUUUCCUGGGUCUCUGGCAACUGAAGGAAUUGCUCUCCUCCAACUUUUACAUGACAGGGAAAUGAAACACUACUUUGUUUAAGAUACUGUUAUUUUGGGUCGAUAGUAUAAGCAGUCGAAGCUAUGUGCUAAUUCUUCCCAUGAACAGCCAGUUUUCAUAAGCCAGGCUUCAGAUGUCUGUAAGUCACACACACACAGUCCUGAUAACCUUAUGUUUUUAUUGUUCUAAGGAAUGACUUAAACUUUUUGCUAAACCAUCUGGACCUUAAUGUUGAAAUCUCUAAAAUCGUUGCUCCCGUGCUACCUACUGGGUUCUAUUCCUGGUAUACACAAGGAAUAAGGGGUGGAAAUGGG